RNAcentral lists this ribosomal RNA (904 nucleotides) under uncultured archaeon. RNAcentral describes it as "bacterial SSU rRNA". It matches the Rfam family "Archaeal small subunit ribosomal RNA", at positions 21 to 903 of the family's 1478-position model. The record is from RNAcentral.
CCCCACUGCUAUCGAGGUGGGACUAAGCCAUGCUAGUCGAACGACCCGGACUAUGGCGGGGAGUGGCAGACUGCUCAGUAACACGUGGCCAACCUACCCUUGGGACGGAGACAACCCCGGGAAACUGGGGCUAAUCCCCGAUAGGUAAGGAAUCCUGGAAUGGAUCUUUGCUGAAAGGGCGUCUGGACCAUGCUUCUUGACGUCGCCCAAGGAUGGAGCCGCGACCGAUCAGGUAGUUGGCGAGGCAACGGCUCACCAAGCCUAUAACCGGUACGGGCCGUGAGAGCGGGAGCCCGGAGAUGGGCACUGAGACAAGGGCCCAGGCCCUACGGGGCGCAGCAGUUGCGAAAACUCCGCAAUGCGCGAAAGCGUGACGGGGCUACCCCGAGUGCCGCCCGUUGAGGGCGGCUUUUCCGCGGUGUAAGGAGCCGUGGGAAUAAGGAGAGGGCAAGACUGGUGUCAGCCGCCGCGGUAAUACCAGCUCUCCGAGUGGUGGGGACGAUUAUUGGGCUUAAAGCGUUCGUAGCCGGCUUAACAAGUCUUCCGUUAAAUCCAACGAUCUAAUCGUUGGGCUGCGGGAGAUACUGUUGGGCUAGGAGGCGGGAGAAGCCGACGGUAUUCUCGGGGUAGGGGUGAAAUCCUGUAAUCCCGGGAGGACCACCAGUGGCGAAGGCGGUCGGCUAGAACGCGCUCGACGGUGAGGGACGAAAGCUGGGGGAGCGAACCGGAUUAGAAACCCGGGUAGUCCCAGCUGUAAACGAUGCGGGCUAGGUGUUGGGGUGGCCACGAGCCACUUCAGUGCCGCAUGGAAGCAAUUAAGCCCGCCGCCUGGGGAGUACGGCCGCAAGGCUGAAACUUAAAGGAAUUGGCGGGGGAGCACCACAAGGCGUGAAGCUUGCGGUUU